UACGAACUGCGCAAACGUUAUUCGGAAUCACUGGGCUUACAGGGUGCGUAGGUGGCGGAGAAAGUAGGGUGUGAAAUGCCUUGGCUCAACCAAGGCACAGCGCUCUAAACUCCUUCGCUCGAGUGAGUCAGGGGUCUGCGGAACUUCCGGUGGAGCGGUGAAAUGUGUUGAUAUCGGAAGGAACGCCGGUGGCGAAAGCGGCAGACUGGGGCUCAACUGACACUGAGGCACGAAAGCCAGGGGAGCGAACGGG
RNAcentral lists this ribosomal RNA (253 nucleotides) under uncultured bacterium. RNAcentral describes it as "partial 16S ribosomal RNA". It matches the Rfam family "Bacterial small subunit ribosomal RNA", at positions 524 to 776 of the family's 1533-position model. The record is from RNAcentral.